AUUCUCUCCACCCUCUCCCCUCCAAAAUUGCACUUAACUCUUUCCCUCUGUGUUUUCUGUGCUUGCCCUUUUAUUUUUGGGAUGGAGCUUGCCUCAAGUGUCAGAACACUUGGUUUUCAAAAUGAAGUCUGCAAGACAGUGAGCUGGUUGGAGCAGCUUGUCUGUGACUGCUGCACUCCAACCACUGAACCCAAUAGCCUCAUUCUUUCUAAAGCGAAAGUGGACCUUCCUACCUGCCACAGUCUGCCCUUUGGCUGUUAAGGGCACAGGUAGUGACUUCUGGGGACAUUACAUUCUGGACAUGUUACAUUUCUGAGGGAAGCAUCAAGCCUCACUGGGCUUUGGUGGGUCUGAGAAUAUGUUCAAUCUUCCUUAUGAAACAUCUUUCUUUAAUGAAUGCUUUUAUGCUUGUUUAUAGCCUCUUUCCAAGCAGGUCACAGGGAAUACUUGAGCAAAAGAAGAAACUAAUUCUGUAAAGUGUUUACAGAAUUAUAUUUCUUGCUAUGUGACAGUCUGGGUCAGAUGUUGGGGGUUCAUGAUGGUGGGUUCAAGAAAGUCCAAAAAAGGUAAAGCUUUAAUUUCUUUUUAAAAAAUAUUUAUUUUAGUUUAUUUUUCUUUUAUAGGAAAUAUACAUGGCCACUGUAUAAAAAUUAGAAAAUAUAGGAAAGUAUAAAUAAAAAUUUAAAUUAUGCUAUCAUUCUUUACCCAAUUUUAUAUUUUACUAUUAGUAUGUAAUAUUCCUUCUUGAAUUAGCAUAUUAUUGUUACUUAAUAUUCUUCCAUGUUAUUAAAAACCCAAACAUGAAUCAAAGAUAGCAUUAAUGAAGGUGUGAAAUUCCAUUGUAUGGAUGUGCCAACAUUUACAUUUAACUAUUCUACUGUUUAGGUUGGUCCAUUCAAAUUGUUCAAGACUUUUCUCUAAGUUGAGCUGAGACUUAAAUAAAUGUGUACAAUUUUCAUAUGUUGAUUUAAAAAUUUUCUUUAAAAUUUUUGAAAAUUAAAAAGUAUUUCAAUGAUAAUGAUAAAAGCAGCUAGCAUUUAUGACAGCACUUACUAUGAGCUGGUUAUUUUUUUAAAAUAUAUAUAUUUAUUUUUUAGUUGUAGUUGGACACAAUGCCCUUAUUUAUUUAUUUUUAUGUGGUGCUGAGAAUUGAACCCAAGGCCUCAAACGUACUAGGUGAGUGCUCUACCACUGAGCCACGACCCCAGCCCCUGAGCUGGUAAAAUUCUAAGCACCAACAUUAAUGUAUUUAACCCUCACCGUGAACCUCUACGGUAAGUAUUUUAUCCCCUUUUACACGUGGGAUGCUGAAGCAUAGUGAAGUAAGUAACCAAAUAAAGAGCACACAGCUGACAGACAGAUUUGGAAAUAAAACCAAGCAAAUGUGGCUCUAGAGACUAAAUAAAUCAGAAAGGGAAAUGUGCUUUAUUAUAAAUUUAAAAGCCAACCAGCCAAAGUCCUGUGAUUAUGAUGUAGAAUGUCUUUCGGUUUUGCAUUUCAUAAACAAAUGUUUUAUUUUUGAGCAAUAGAAUCCAUGGACUUCCCUUUUUUUUUCCUUUAGAAAAUUUGGGGAAUUGAAUAGCAAUUUUUCAUAUUUGUUCUAAAUUUUAACCCCUGUGGCUGCCACAGGAUGUGCCCAUGCAUAGCUAGCUGACUCUGCCUGUGGUUUGCACCAAGGGGAAACUGCUUUGUCAAGUUGACACCUCAUUCAUUAACAGUGGGGGAAGAGACGCUUUUAAGGAAACACAGGUAGCUCAGAGGGACUGGAGUCUUGGUCAUCAGGAAGUCUGAAGGAGGCAAGCUGCGGGCCAAAGAAGGCAGUGGGCAUCAGGAGUCAGGUCACAGAGAAGCUUCCAGUUCAUGCUGGACACAAGGCAAAGUAUUUGAAAAAUGUUAACAGAAGGAGACAGAGACUGAUUUGCACUUUGGCAAAAAUCACAUUGGAUGCUGUGGGAUCGAAUAAACAAAGAGGAGAAAGUGAAAAGAAAAACCAGUUGCUUAGACAGGAACAUGGUCAUAGUGAGAAAGGAGGGCCUAACCUCAGACUGCAGCAGUGUGGGGAUGGUGACAGGUGGAUGCACCUAAUUUCAAAUACAGACUAGAGCUGGAGAUUGAGCAGAUGUAGGAGAUGCAGGGAGUACGGGUGGGGAGUACGGGUGGGGAGGUCAAG
This 2170-nucleotide long non-coding RNA is filed under the name Marmota monax (woodchuck). The record is from RNAcentral. Lineage: Eukaryota; Metazoa; Chordata; Mammalia; Rodentia; Sciuridae.